AGCAAAGAAGGGAGUAGAAGCCUCUAUAGGAGCUGUUUCGGGUUGCACUAUCCUAAUAUUGUUUCUACUGUGUGAGAGGACAAACAUCAUACAACCAAUCCUUGGCAAGGAGAAAGAAACUCCUGCCAUUCUUAAAUGGAGUCUUGUGGAACUCCACACAAGAUUCAACCAAAUAAAGGACUUGAAUGACAUCGAGGGUAUUUUUAAAACUCCUAAAAAGCAAAAAACUACCAGGGAAGAGGAAGACACUGUUGAGAAGGGUAUUUUGAAAACAUAUAAAAAGAGAAAAACUACCGGAGAAGAGGGAGACCCACUUGACAAGG
Prunus dulcis (almond) is the source of this 323-nucleotide long non-coding RNA. RefSeq lists it as uncharacterized. The record is from RefSeq and is a predicted model, not a curated record. The transcript is spliced from 4 exons. NCBI's taxonomy places the organism in Eukaryota, Viridiplantae, Streptophyta, Magnoliopsida, Rosales, Rosaceae.